This 485-nucleotide ribosomal RNA is filed under the name uncultured bacterium. RNAcentral's name for it is "bacterial SSU rRNA". It matches the Rfam family "Bacterial small subunit ribosomal RNA", at positions 31 to 507 of the family's 1533-position model. The record is from RNAcentral.
GAACGCUAGCGGCAGGCUUAACACAUGCAAGUCGAGGGGCAGCAUGAGGGUUAGCAAUAACCCUUGAUGGCGACCGGCGCAAGGGUGCGUAACGCGUGAGCAACUUGCCCGUUUCAGGGGGAUAACCGGUGGAAACGCCGACUAAUACCCCAUGGUGAUGGUUUGAGGCAUCUCUUUCCAUCUAAAGAAUCUCGGAAACGGAUAGGCUCGCGUGACAUUAGCUAGAUGGCGGGGUAACGGCCCACCAUGGCGACGAUGUCUAGGGGUUCUGAGAGGAAGGUCCCCCACACUGGAACUGAGACACGGUCCAGACUCCUACGGGAGGCAGCAGUGAGGAAUAUUGGUCAAUGGUCUGACGACUGAACCAGCCAUGCCGCGUGAAGGUCACGGCCCUAUGGGUCUUAAACUUCUUUUGCAAGGGAGCAAUAAGGUCUACGUGUAGAUCGAUGAGAGUACCUUGCGAAUAAGCAUCGGCUAACUCCGUG